CUUUCAGCAACGGAUCUCUUGGUUCCGGCAUCGAUGAAGAACGCAGCGAAAUGCGAUAAGUAAUGUGAAUUGCAGAAUCCAGUGAACCAUCGAAUCUUUGAACGCACAUUGCGCCCCCCGGUCCUCCGAGGGGCAUGCCCGUCCGAGCGUC
Molecule: ribosomal RNA, 151 nt
Filed under: Leptogium sp.
Lineage: Eukaryota; Fungi; Ascomycota; Lecanoromycetes; Peltigerales; Collemataceae
Description: 5.8S ribosomal RNA
Rfam family: 5.8S ribosomal RNA
About the family: 5.8S ribosomal RNA (5.8S rRNA) is a component of the large subunit of the eukaryotic ribosome. It is transcribed by RNA polymerase I as part of the 45S precursor that also contains 18S and 28S rRNA.
Source: RNAcentral